RNAcentral lists this ribosomal RNA (582 nucleotides) under uncultured fungus. Its description in RNAcentral is "SSU rRNA". It matches the Rfam family "Eukaryotic small subunit ribosomal RNA", at positions 1197 to 1802 of the family's 1831-position model. The record is from RNAcentral. Lineage: Eukaryota; Fungi.
GACUCAACACGGGGAAACUCACCAGGUCCAGACACAAUAAGGAUUGACAGAUUGAGAGCUCUUUCUUGAUUUUUUGGUUGGUGGUGCAUGGCCGUUCUUAGUUGGUGGAGUGAUUUGUCUGCUUAAUUGCGAUAACGAACGAGACCUUAACCUGCUAAAUAGCCCGUGCCGCUUUGGCGGCUCGCUGGCUUCUUAGAGGGACUAUCGGCUCAAGCCGAUGGAAGUUUGAGGCAAUAACAGGUCUGUGAUGCCCUUAGAUGUUCUGGGCCGCACGCGCGCUACGCUGACAGAGCCAGCGAGUACUCCCUUGGCCGGAAGGUCCGGGUAAUCUUAGAAACUCUGUCGUGCUGGGGAUAGAACAUUGCAAUUAUUGUUCUUCAACGAGGAAUCCCUAGUAAGCGCAAGUCAUCAGCUUGCGUUGAUUACGUCCCUGCCCUUUGUACACACCGCCCGUCGCUACUACCGAUUGAAUGGCUCAGUGAGGCUUCCGGACUGGCCCAGGGAGGUCGGCAACGACCACCCAGGGCCGGAAAGCUAUCCAAACUCGGUCAUUUAGAGGAAGUAAAAGUCGUAACAAGGUUU